RNAcentral lists this long non-coding RNA (458 nucleotides) under Malus domestica (apple). RNAcentral's name for it is "long non-coding RNA (MDOM_LNC003992)". Lineage: Eukaryota; Viridiplantae; Streptophyta; Magnoliopsida; Rosales; Rosaceae. The record is from RNAcentral.
AAUGGUCCUCCAUUUGCGUUUAGGUGCAUCGCUUGGAAGUGACCCAGUCCUCCCUAAUUUGAGCGGAUCUCCUGUGGUUGAAUACUUGUGAGUGGACCCCUUCUUAACUUGCUUGUUUUUAUAAAAUAUUAGGCUUGCAUUCACGAAAAGCAUGAUUUCAUGAUUUUACAUCUUAUGCAUUAUUUAUGACUUUGGAGAAUUCAUGAUUUAUUCUCCUUUAUGAAAUAGUUUUGAUUUAUCUAUUUAAGGUUUAUAAAAUGGCAUCUUUAUGGAAAACACGUUUAUGGAAUUGCCUAUGAUUUAUUUAUGGUUUAUGAAUUGAGGCUUUGAGCUUUUGAGCUCUAGUGAUUUGGUAUGAUUUUUUAGAUAUGUUUUCAGUGCUUAUCUAGUGGGUUAUCAUACAACACAUACACACAACACGAGUGUGUAAACGUCUAUGGCCAUAGGACAUAGUUGAA